This 216-nucleotide ribosomal RNA is filed under the name Glomeromycotina sp. RNAcentral's name for it is "partial small subunit ribosomal RNA". The stretch from base 40 to 216 matches the Rfam family "Eukaryotic small subunit ribosomal RNA", at positions 686 to 864 of the family's 1831-position model. Lineage: Eukaryota; Fungi; Glomeromycota. The record is from RNAcentral.
GGGACAGUAGGUUGGUCGUGCCACCGGUACGUACUGGUCUCACUGAUUCCUCCUUCCUGAAGAACCGUAAUGCCAUUAAUUAGGUGUUGCGGGGAAACAGGACUGUUACUUUGAAAAAAUUAGAGUGUUUAAAGCAUGCUAACGCUUGAAUACAUUAGCAUGGAAUAAUGAAAUAGGACGAUCGAUCCUAUUUUGUUGGUUUCUAGGAUUGACGUA